RNAcentral lists this ribosomal RNA (425 nucleotides) under uncultured bacterium. RNAcentral's name for it is "partial 16S ribosomal RNA". It matches the Rfam family "Bacterial small subunit ribosomal RNA", at positions 354 to 796 of the family's 1533-position model. The record is from RNAcentral.
GUUAGGAAUAUUGGACAAUGGGCGAAAGCCUGAUCCAGCCAUGCCGCGUGAACGAUGAAGGCCUUCGGGUUGUAAAGUUCUUUAGCCGAUGAUUAUAAUGACUGUAGUCGGAAAAUAAGCCCCGGCUAACUUCGUGCCAGCAGCCGCGGUAAUACGCAGGGGGCGAGCGUUAUGCGGAAUCACUGGGCGUAAAGCGUGCGUAGGCGGUUUUGUAAGUUAGGAGUGAAAGCCCAGGGCUCAACCUUGGAAUUGCUCUUAAAACUGCAAGGCUCGAAUCUCGGAGAGGAUAGCGGAAUUUCCAGUGUAGCAGUGAAAUGCGUAGAUAUUGGAAGGAACACCAGUGGCGUAAGCGGCUAUCUGGACGAGUAUUGACGCUGAGGCACGAAAGCGUGGGGAUCAAACAGGAUUAGAUACCCCAGUAGUCC